CCUACGGGUGGCAGCAGUGGGGAAUAUUGCACAAUGGGCGAAAGCCUGAUGCAGCAACGCCGCGUGAAGGAAGAAGGUUUUCGGCUCGUAAACUUCUAUCAACAGGGACGAAAGAAAUGACGGUACCUGAAUACGAAGCCUCGGCUAACUACGUGCCAGCAGCCGCUGUAAUACGUAGGGGGCAAGCAUUAUGCGGAAUUUAUGGGUGUAAAGGGUGAGUAGGCGGCAUGGUAAGCCAGAUGGUAAAGCCUUGGGCUUAACCCGAGGAUUGCAUUUGGAACUAUCAAGCUAGAGUACAGGAGAGGAAAGCGGAAUGCCUAGUGUAGCGGUGAAAUGCGGAGAUAUUAGGAAGAACACCAGUGGCGAAGGCGGCUUACUGGACUGAAACUGACGCUGAUGCACGAAAGUGUGGGGAGCGAACAGGAUUAGAUACCCGGGUAGUC
This 443-nucleotide ribosomal RNA is filed under the name uncultured bacterium. RNAcentral describes it as "partial 16S ribosomal RNA". It matches the Rfam family "Bacterial small subunit ribosomal RNA", at positions 338 to 795 of the family's 1533-position model. The record is from RNAcentral.